Molecule: unclassified non-coding RNA, 338 nt
Filed under: soil metagenome
Description: partial contains 5.8S ribosomal RNA, internal transcribed spacer 2, and large subunit ribosomal RNA
Rfam family: 5.8S ribosomal RNA (bases 1-120)
Source: RNAcentral
GAUGAAGAACGUAGCGAAAUGCGAUAAGUAAUGUGAAUUGCAGAAUUCAAUGAAUCAUCGAAUCUUUGAACGCACAUUGCGCCCGGCAGUACUCUGCCGGGCAUGCCUGUUCGAGCGUCAUUUCAACCCUCAAGCCCUGCUUGGUGUUGGGGUCCCACGGCCGCCGUGGGCCCUGAAAGGAAGUGGCGGGCUCGCUACAACUCCGAGCGUAGUAAUUCAUUAUCUCGCUUAGGGCGUUGGGCGGCGCUCCUGCCGUUAAAGAACCAUCUUUAACUCAAGGUUGACCUCGGAUCAGGUAGGAAUACCCGCUGAACUUAAGCAUAUCAAUAAGCGGAGGA